RNAcentral lists this ribosomal RNA (381 nucleotides) under uncultured eukaryote. Its description in RNAcentral is "partial 18S ribosomal RNA". It matches the Rfam family "Eukaryotic small subunit ribosomal RNA", at positions 592 to 975 of the family's 1831-position model. The record is from RNAcentral.
CAAUAGCGUAUAUUAAAGUUGUUGCAGUUAAAAAGCUCGUAGUUGGAUUUCUGGUUGAAGCGACCGGUCGGGCGUUGAUUCGUCUGCACUGGAGUCGGUUUUGGCCAUCCUCUAGGAAAGUGCGUCUGGUAUUAAGUUAUCGGGCGUAUGAUCCUGGUCUUUUACUGUGAAAAAAUUAGAGUGUUUAAAGCAGGCCUUCGCCUUGAAUACAUUAGCAUGGAAUAAUAAGAUAGGACUUUGGUCUAUUUUGUUGGUUUGCAGACCGAAGUAAUGAUUAAUAGGGAUAGUUGGGGGUAUUUAUAUUCCAAUGUCAGAGGUGAAAUUCUUAGAUUUUCGGAAGAUAAACUUAUGCGAAAGCAUUUACCAAGGAUGUUUUCAUUA